ACGGGUGAGUAACGCGUGGGAACAUACCCUCCGGUUCGGAAUAGCUCAGGGAAACUUGGAUUAAUACCGGAUACGGCUGAGAGGCGAAAGAUUUAUCGCCGGAGGAUUGGCCCGCGUUCGAUUAGCUAGUUGGUGAGGUAACGGCUCACCAAGGCGAUGAUCGAUAGCUGGUCUGAGAGGAUGAUCAGCCACAUUGGGACUGAGACACGGCCCAAACUCCUACGGGAGGCAGCAGUGGGGAAUAUUGGACAAUGGGCGCAAGCCUGAUCCAGCCAUGCCGCGUGAGUGAUGACGGCCUUAGGGUUGUAAAGCUCUUUCGCUCGGGACGAUAAUGACGGUACCGAGAUAAGAAGCCCCGGCUAACUUCGUGCCAGCAGCCGCGG
RNAcentral lists this ribosomal RNA (383 nucleotides) under uncultured bacterium. Its description in RNAcentral is "bacterial SSU rRNA". It matches the Rfam family "Bacterial small subunit ribosomal RNA", at positions 102 to 520 of the family's 1533-position model. The record is from RNAcentral.